ACCUCAUGAUUUGGGCAUUGGUCUAAUUUUCCAUUAAACCUUUCCCAAGCUUCAAAUAAUGGCUCUCCAUUUAUUCGCCAAAAAUUCACAAUUUCAUCCUGAUUUU
Molecule: non-coding RNA, 106 nt
Organism: Capsicum annuum
Lineage: Eukaryota; Viridiplantae; Streptophyta; Magnoliopsida; Solanales; Solanaceae
Source: Rfam